AAUUCCCCUAUUUCCUUUCAUUUAGUGAGUUGUUUCUAAAGGUCCAACCCAAAUUAAUAAAUUAAACUGCCGCCAAAAAGUUGAAAAGCUAGUAAGUUAAUAAACAAUAACAGUAGUACAUUAUAUAGUUUAUGCUCUCUGAUUGUAUUAACACUAUUUAGGCUGUUAAUGAUAAUCAAAACCGCACCCAAAACCGUACUGCAACAGUGUUGUAACAAUAUUAAAAUCUCUACAUAUUCAUAUGUAUCUAUGUAUUUUUGUUACUAUUUGAACCGAACCGCACUUCUCCUGCAUCGCAAAAUACAAUUACCAUUCGGAGCCUUAGUUGAUAAACUGCAUGAAACUAGUAAAAUUAUGAUAUU
Molecule: small RNA, 362 nt
Filed under: Arabidopsis thaliana (thale cress)
Lineage: Eukaryota; Viridiplantae; Streptophyta; Magnoliopsida; Brassicales; Brassicaceae
Description: ATSL014790
Source: RNAcentral